AUGAAUUAUGAGUUUAAUAGAUCCUCUUUAGCAGAAAGACGUAUAUUCCUUGCUCAUUAUCAGACAAUCACUUAUUCCCAAACCUCGUGUGGGACUAAUCAUUUUCAUUUACCAUCUCAUGGAAAACCCUUUUCGUUCCGCUUAGCCCUAUCGGGUAUUUUAGUGAUAGGUUCUGUAGGAACUGGACGAUCCUAUUUGGUCAAAUACCUAACGAAAAAUUACGAUUUUCCUUUCAUUAAGGUACGAGGGCUUCUUAUUCCACAAGAACGAAAGCACCUUUUCAUUCUUUCAUAUACUAGGGGUUUUUACUUGGAAAAGACAAUGUUCCAUACUAAAGGAUUCGGGUCCAUAACCACGAGUUCCAGUGCACUAGAUCUUGUAGCACUUAGCAACGAAGCCCUAUCCAUUAGUAUUCCACAUAAGAAAUCCAUUCUAGAAAAAAAUACAAUUAGAUUAGCUCUUCAUAGACAAACUUGGGGUUUGCGAGCCAAGGUAAGAUCGGCUCGGGAUCAUGGGACCCUUUUCUAUCAGAUAGGAGGGGCUCUUGUACAAAAUAGACUUACUAAGUAA
RNAcentral lists this ribosomal RNA (570 nucleotides) under Triticum aestivum (bread wheat). RNAcentral describes it as "partial small subunit ribosomal RNA". The record is from RNAcentral. Lineage: Eukaryota; Viridiplantae; Streptophyta; Magnoliopsida; Poales; Poaceae.